UAGAGUUUGAUCCUGGCUCAGGAUAAACGCUGGCGGCGUGCCUAAUGCAUGCAAGUCGCACGGGAGCCCUUCGGGGUCGACCGAGGCGGACGGGUGAGGAACGCGUGGCUAACCUGCCCAACCGAGGGGGAUAACCCCGGGAAACCGGGGCUAAUACCGCAUACGCUCGACUGCGGGGACGUGGUUGAGGAAAGGGAGCAAUCCCGCGGAUGGAGGGGGCUGCGGCCGAUUAGCUAGUUGGUGGGGUAAGAGCCUACCAAGGCGGUGAUCGGUAGCUGGUCUGAGAGGACGAUCAGCCACACGGGGACUGAGACACGGCCCCGACUCCUACGGGAGGCAGCAGCAAGGAAUUUUCCACAAUGGGCGCAAGCCUGAUGGAGCAACGUCGCGUGGGGGAUGACGCGUUUCGGCGUGUAAACCCCUUUUCGGGAGGACGAAGCCAAUGACGGUACUCCCGGAAGAAGGACCGGCUAACUACGUGCCAGCAGCCGCGGUAAGACGUAGGGUCCGAGCGUUGUCCGGAGUUACUGGGCGUAAAGCGCGCGCAGGCGGUUCGAUACGUCGGGUGUGAAAGCCCCCCGCUCAACGGGGGAGGGUCAUUCGAAACGGUCGGACUGGAGGCAGGGAGAGGUCGGUGGAAUUCCCGGUGUAGUGGUGAAAUGCGUAGAGAUCGGGAGGAACACCAGUGGCGAAGGCGGCCGACUGGACCUGGCCUGACGCUGAGGCGCGAAGGCGUGGGGAGCGAACGGGAUUAGAUACCCCGGUAGUCCACGCAGUAAACGAUGUGCACUAGGUGUGGGGGGUAUAGACCCCCUCCGUGCCGGCGCUAACGCAGUAAGUGCACCGCCUGGGGAGUACGGCCGCAAGGCUAAAACUCAAAGGAAUUGACGGGGGCCCGCACAAGCAGCGGAGCGUGUGGUUUAAUUCGACGCAACGCGCAAAACCUUACCAGGGCUU
RNAcentral lists this ribosomal RNA (957 nucleotides) under uncultured bacterium. Its description in RNAcentral is "bacterial SSU rRNA". It matches the Rfam family "Bacterial small subunit ribosomal RNA", at positions 1 to 982 of the family's 1533-position model. The record is from RNAcentral.